RNAcentral lists this ribosomal RNA (395 nucleotides) under uncultured bacterium. RNAcentral's name for it is "partial 16S ribosomal RNA". It matches the Rfam family "Bacterial small subunit ribosomal RNA", at positions 523 to 918 of the family's 1533-position model. The record is from RNAcentral.
CUACGUAGGGUGCAAGCGUUAAUCGGAAUUACUGGGCGUAAAGCGUGCGCAGGCGGUUAUGUAAGAUAGAUGUGAAAUACCCGGGCUCAACCUGGGGAAUGCAUUUAUGCCUGCCUAGCUAGAGUACGGUAGAGGGGGAUGGAAUUCCGCGUGUAGCAGGGAAAUGCGUAGAUAUGCUGAGGAACACCGAUGGCGAAGGCAAUCCCCUGGACCUGUACUGACGCUCAUGCACGAAAGCGUGGGGAGCAAACAGGAUUAGAUACCCUGGCAGUCCACGCCCUAAACGAUGUCAACUGGUUGUUGGGUCUUCACUGACUCAGUAACGAAGCUAACGCGUGAAGUUGACCGCCUGGGGAGUACGGCCGCAAGGUUGAAACUCAAAUGAAUUGACGGGG